UUCCGGUUGAUCCUGCCGGAGGCGACCGCUUUUGGAGUUCGAUUAAGCCAUGCGAGUCGAGAGCUUUCGGAGCUCGGCAUACUGCUCAGUAACACGUGGAUAACCUGCCCUAUUGUCUGGGAUAACCUCGGGAAACUGAGAACAAUGCCGGAUAGCCCACAAUGCCUGGAACGGUUUGUGGGUGAAGAUAGGAUGGGUCUGCGGCGUAUCAGGUCGUAGGGGGUGUAAUGGACCUCCUAGCCAUCGACGCGUACGGGUGUCGGGAGACAUAGCCCGGAGAUGGAUUCUGAGACACGAAUCCAGACCCUAUGGGGUGCAGCAGGCGCGAAAACUUCACACUGCAGGAAACUGUGAUGAGGGAACUCCAAGUGCUAUCACCAUGUGGUAGCUUUUCUUAACUAUUAAUCGGUUUUGGAAUAAGGGCUGGGAAAGACCGGUGCCAGCCGCCGCGGUAAUACCGGCAGCUCAAGUGGUCGUCGCUUUUAUUGGGCCUAAAACGUCCGUAGCCUGUUUGGUAAAUCUGUGGGUAAAUCAACCAGCUUAACUGGUUGAAUUCUGCAGAGACUGCCAGACUAGGGACCGGGAGAGGUGUGGGGUACUCUAGGGGUAGGGGUAAAAUCCUGUCAUCCUUAGAGGACCACCAGUUGCGAAGGCGCCACACUGGAACGGAUCCGACGGUCAGGGACGAAGCCUAGGGGCACGAACCGGAUUAGAUACCCGGGUAGUCCUAGGUGUAAACGCUGUGAACUUGGUGUCGGGGAUCCGUAAUGGGUUCUCGGUGCCGGAGUGAAGAUGUUAAGUUCACUGCCUGGGGAGUACGGUCGCAAGGUUGAAACUUAAAGGAAUUGGCGGGGCAGCAC
Molecule: ribosomal RNA, 860 nt
Filed under: uncultured euryarchaeote
Lineage: Archaea; Methanobacteriati; Methanobacteriota
Description: bacterial SSU rRNA
Rfam family: Archaeal small subunit ribosomal RNA
Source: RNAcentral